This 253-nucleotide ribosomal RNA is filed under the name uncultured microorganism. Its description in RNAcentral is "partial 16S ribosomal RNA". It matches the Rfam family "Bacterial small subunit ribosomal RNA", at positions 524 to 776 of the family's 1533-position model. The record is from RNAcentral.
UACGUAGGGUGCGAGCGUUAAUCGGAUUUACUGGGCGUAAAGCGUGCGCAGGCGGCCCGUUAAGACAGGUGUGAAAUCCCUGGGCUCAACCUAGGAAUUGCGCUUGUGACUGGCGGGCUCGAGUACGGUAGAGGGGGGUGGAAUUCCUGGUGUAGCAGUGAAAUGCGUAGAGAUCAGGAGGAACACCGAUGGCGAAGGCAGCCCCCUGAGCCUGUACUGACGCUCAUGCACGAAAGCGUGGGGAGCAAACAGG